CCCUUAGACGUUCUGGGCCGCACGCGCGCUACACUGACCAGUGCAACAAGCAUUCGUCCUUGGCCGACAGGCUCGGGCAAUCUUUGAACGCUGGUCGUGAUGGGGAUAGACUUUUGCAAUUUUUGGUCUUCAACGAGGAAUUCCUAGUAAACGCAAGUCAUCAACUUGCAUUGAUUACGUCCCUGCCCUUUGUACACACCGCCCGUCGCACCUACCGAUUGAAUGGUCCGGUGAAGCCUCCGGAUUGGCGCGCACCUCGGUGCCGCCGAGAAGUUGGCUAAACCUUACCAUUUAGAGGAAGGUGAAGUCGUAACA
This 315-nucleotide ribosomal RNA is filed under the name uncultured eukaryote. RNAcentral's name for it is "partial 18S ribosomal RNA". It matches the Rfam family "Eukaryotic small subunit ribosomal RNA", at positions 1470 to 1796 of the family's 1831-position model. The record is from RNAcentral.